Molecule: long non-coding RNA, 194 nt
Organism: Bombus terrestris (buff-tailed bumblebee)
Lineage: Eukaryota; Metazoa; Arthropoda; Insecta; Hymenoptera; Apidae
Exons: 2
Source: RefSeq, a predicted model, not a curated record
UUAAGAUUUUAAAGACUGAAGAAGAAAGAUCGGUAGCUCAGGACGUUGAAAAUCGAUUCUCAAUUUUCAGACUACAGAAUCGAUCCCUGAAUUAUCACCAAAUUACGAUCUUACAAAUCGAUUUUCACUACGCCAUGCCGUUAGAAGUGAAACUACGUAUCGCCCUGAACGAGAACGCAAGGGGGGGGGGGAAA